GAUGAACGCUGACAGAAUGCUUAACACAUGCAAGUCAACUUGAAUUUGGGUUUUAACUUAGGUUUGGGUGGCGGACGGGUGAGUAACGCGUAAAGAACUUGCCUCACAGCUAGGGACAACAUUUGGAAACGAAUGCUAAUACCUAAUAUUAUGAUAAUAGGGCAUCCUAUAAUUAUGAAAGCUAUAAGCGCUGUGAGAGAGCUUUGCGUCCCAUUAGCUAGUUGGAGAGGUAACGGCUCACCAAGGCGAUGAUGGGUAGCCGGCCUGAGAGGGUGAUCGGCCACAAGGGGACUGAGACACGGCCCUUACUCCUACGGGAGGCAGCAGUGGGGAAUAUUGGACAAUGGACCGAGAGUCUGAUCCAGCAAUUCUGUGUGCACGAUGAAGUUUUUCGGAAUGUAAAGUGCUUUCAGUUGGGAAGAAACAAAUGACGGUACCAACAGAAGAAGUGACGGCUAAAUACGUG
RNAcentral lists this ribosomal RNA (466 nucleotides) under uncultured bacterium. RNAcentral's name for it is "partial 16S ribosomal RNA". It matches the Rfam family "Bacterial small subunit ribosomal RNA", at positions 28 to 507 of the family's 1533-position model. The record is from RNAcentral.